This is a non-coding RNA of Picea glauca (white spruce), 119 nucleotides long. The record is from Rfam. NCBI's taxonomy places the organism in Eukaryota, Viridiplantae, Streptophyta, Pinopsida, Pinales, Pinaceae.
GGGUGAAAUCAUACCAUUGUUAAUGCACUGGAUCCCAACAGAACUCCACAGUUAAGCGCGCUUGAGCUAGAGUAGUACUGGGAUGGGUGACCUCUCGGGAAGUCCUAGUGUUGCACCCU